AAUUCUCCACUGAAAUAUGGGAUGAACAAACUAGCUUUUGUGGAAGGCAGUCGCUGGGGAUUGAAAUGUAUUAUUUGUGAAAAAUGUAUAGUUAUGAAAGGUUAUAGAUGCAUGACGUAUGCUAGAUGCUGAUGCAAUAUGAUUAUUCUUUUUUUUCAACAAGCUCUCUGUAUUUUAUUAACAAGAUUUUUUUUUCUCUUUUUGUUUUUCAAAGCUCUCUGCAAGUUGUAACACCCCGAUAAAAUAAGAUAAUUAUUUAAUUUAAGUUAAUAAUAUA
Molecule: long non-coding RNA, 277 nt
Filed under: Lathyrus oleraceus (garden pea)
Lineage: Eukaryota; Viridiplantae; Streptophyta; Magnoliopsida; Fabales; Fabaceae
Description: Pisum sativum (pea) long non-coding RNA (PSAT_LNC024429)
Source: RNAcentral